Molecule: ribosomal RNA, 349 nt
Filed under: uncultured bacterium
Lineage: Bacteria
Description: partial 16S ribosomal RNA
Rfam family: Bacterial small subunit ribosomal RNA
Source: RNAcentral
CCUACGGGUGGCAGCAGUAGGGAAUUUUCGUCAAUAGGGGAAACCCUGACCGAGCAACGCCGCGUGAACGAAGAAGUUAUUCUUAGUUUAAAGUUCUUUUUACAGGGAAGAAAGAGAAAUUUGACGGUACCUGAAGUAUAAGCUCCGGCUAACUACGUCCCAGCAGCCGCGGUAAUACGUAGGGAUCGAGCGUUAUCCGGAAUUAUUGGGCGUAAAGGGUGCGUAGAUGGCAUAGUAAGUCUUUUGUAAAAAUGCUGGGCUCAACCGAGAAGGGCAAAAGAUACUGCAAAGCUAGAGUAUGACAGAGGCAAGUGGAAAUACAUGUGGAGCGGGAAAAUGCGUAAGUAUA